AGCAGCCGCGGUAAUUCCAGCUCCAAUAGCGUAUAUUAAAGUUGUUGCAGUUAAAAAGCUCGUAGUUGAAUUUCGGGAUCAGCAGGUCGGUCGUGCCACUGGUAUGCACUGGCCUUGCUGAUUCCUCCCUCUUGAUGAGCCGUAAUGCCAUUAAUUUGGUGUUGCGGGGAAUCAGGACUGUUACUUUGAAAAAAUUAGAGUGUUUAAAGCAGGCAAGCGCUUGAAUACAUUAGCAUGGAAUAAUGAAAUAGGACGUUCGAUCCUAUUUUGUUGGUUUCUAGGAUUGACGUAAUGAUUAAUAGGGAUAGUUGGGGGCAUAGUAUUCAAUUGUCAGAGGUGAAAUUCUUGGAUUUAUUGAAGACUAACUACUGCGAAAGCAUUUGCCAAGGAUGUUUUCAUUAAUCAAGAACGAAAGUUAGGGGAUCGAAGACGAUCAGAUACCGUCGUAGUCUUAACCAUAAACUAUGCCGACUAGGGAUCGGAUGAUGUUAAUUUUUUAAUGA
RNAcentral lists this small RNA (503 nucleotides) under uncultured Glomus. RNAcentral's name for it is "SSU rRNA". It matches the Rfam family "Eukaryotic small subunit ribosomal RNA", at positions 569 to 1077 of the family's 1831-position model. The record is from RNAcentral. Lineage: Eukaryota; Fungi; Glomeromycota; Glomeromycetes; Glomerales; Glomeraceae.